Long non-coding RNA from Uranotaenia lowii, 470 nucleotides. RefSeq lists it as uncharacterized. Lineage: Eukaryota; Metazoa; Arthropoda; Insecta; Diptera; Culicidae. The record is from RefSeq and is a predicted model, not a curated record. The transcript is spliced from 2 exons.
UCUCACGUUAAACUACAAUCAAAGAAAUGAUAUUUCAAAUGAAGUACGCUGCUUUGGCAGUCAUGUUGAUUAUCGUUUUAGUCAACACCUUACCGACUGGUGCUCGAAGUGUUCCUGCUUCAGAGGAGAAUAUAGUUGGUUGUGGAGUUUGGGAUUCAUGUCCGUUUUAAAAUUGGAACCAAGCAGGGAAACGAACGUAACUGGCCAGAAGAAAAUUGAGGAUGGAGACGGUGUUUUAUUUUAAUUUAUUUCCUGAUAACAAACGUAUAGUAAAUUCUACUUUAAAUAGUGCAAAAAUUGAUAUUAAAUAACAGAAUAUGAAAUGAUAAAGAUCUAUGUUUUCGCAAAAUCAACCACAUAAAAAUGUUAUUUCAAUCUUUUUUGUGUAUUUUUUUGCGAUUGUCGAUGCUCGCAAAAGCUAGAAAAGAAUUCUACAAAAUGAAAAAUAAAUAAAUAUUAAUGAAUGAAAA